This 485-nucleotide ribosomal RNA is filed under the name Aspergillus venenatus. RNAcentral's name for it is "eukaryotic LSU rRNA". The stretch from base 119 to 272 matches the Rfam family "5.8S ribosomal RNA". The record is from RNAcentral. Lineage: Eukaryota; Fungi; Ascomycota; Eurotiomycetes; Eurotiales; Aspergillaceae.
CGUGACUACCUAACACUGUUGCUUCGGCGGGGAGCCCUCUCGGGGGCGAGCCGCCGGGGACUACUGAACUUCAUGCCUGAGAGUGAUGCAGUCUGAGUCUGAAUAUAAAAUCAGUCAAAACUUUCAACAAUGGAUCUCUUGGUUCCGGCAUCGAUGAAGAACGCAGCGAACUGCGAUAAGUAAUGUGAAUUGCAGAAUUCAGUGAAUCAUCGAGUCUUUGAACGCACAUUGCGCCCCCUGGCAUUCCGGGGGGCAUGCCUGUCCGAGCGUCAUUGCUGCCCAUCAAGCCCGGCUUGUGUGUUGGGUCGUCGUCCCCCCCGGGGGACGGGCCCGAAAGGCAGCGGCGGCACCGUGUCCGGUCCUCGAGCGUAUGGGGCUUUGUCACCCGCUCGAUUAGGGCCGGCCGGGCGCCAGCCGACGUCUCCAACCAUUUUCUUCAGGUUGACCUCGGAUCAGGUAGGGAUACCCGCUGAACUUAAGCAUAC